UACAGGGGGUGCAAACGUUGCUCGGAAUCAUUGGGCGUAAAGAGCUCGUAGGCGGUCUGUCGCGUCGGCUGUGAAAACCCGGAGCUCAACUCCGGGCCUGCAGUCGAUACGGGCAAACUGGAGUGUUGCAGGGGAGACUGGAAUUCCUGGUGUAGCGGUGAAAUGCGCAGAUAUCAGGAGGAACACCGGUGGCGAAGGCGGGUCUCUGGGUCGGUACUGACGCUGAGGAGCGAAAGCGUGGGGAGCGAACAGG
This 253-nucleotide ribosomal RNA is filed under the name uncultured bacterium. RNAcentral describes it as "partial 16S ribosomal RNA". It matches the Rfam family "Bacterial small subunit ribosomal RNA", at positions 524 to 776 of the family's 1533-position model. The record is from RNAcentral.